GCAUCUCCAAUUUCUUGCCACCACAGACGGAUGUUUCAGUGAAGUAGUUUUGCUCCAACCUCUCUGCCAUCUGCCAUGCGAUGGGCGCUAGAGCACAUCCCGUUGAGGAAGUCGGUAGCUAGGGGUGGAGGAGCAAAGUUCAAGUUAACAACGUUGAUGUUUAAUGGUAGCUACUAGAGAUCCUGGAUGCUGACUCUGCCUAGGUUUUCACAAUACCUGGACCUCAAAGAUGAGCUGCUUUUGAUGCUGAAAUGCACUGACACGGCACUACUUUGUGACAUCACACAUCAGACAGGACCUGAGUAACCUGAGUAAGUCAUCAGACGUCUGUUAUCAGAACCACAAGAAGAGGAACGCAUGUGUUUCAGGUUUUCCUGCUAUUACUGAGAAGACGUUGCUCUUGAUGCCGGAAUGCCCUGAAACUGCACCACUUUGUGAUGACAUCAAACAUCAGAGAAACUACAUCCAAGGUGCCUUGGGCCUAUUUAGAAUGUACUAGGCUGUUCAAUGAGUAAAAAAGGUUAUAUGGGCAAUUCCAUGCUGGUGGAGACACAAGACCAAACAAUUAUUUUACGAUUUGUUCUCGUUUGAUUUGCUGAAGUGACAUAAUAUAGCUUGGCGUUUUUAAAACUGAAAUAGUUUCGUCCCAUGCGCGCACUUUUUGUGAGUUACGGUACACCAUCACAUCAAAGUCUGCAAUGACGUCAUGAUGACUUAUGGAUGCACUGGUAAGUAAUUUUGAAGUUGUCUUUUGCUAUCUAUUCAGUAAUAUUUUUCUCAAUUUGCUGUGUUACCAUUUUAAGGGUGUUUGGAUAUUAUUUGUAGUUUUUAAUUUUAGUCAGAUUUUGCUUGUAAAAUGAUGUACAAAUCUAAUUAUUUAUAAGUCACCAAAAUGGAUUUGUUUUUUUUUGUAAAUACCUACAUUUUUUACCAAUGAAUUAUUCUGUUAAAAGUUUCUUAGCUUGAGUUUUGAGAAGUAUAUUUAAAACUAGAAUUUUGUUUACAUUUUUGUUUUAUGCUUAGACCAGCCAUGAAAUAUUGUAAUGUCAGCCACAUGUAAUGUCAUGCAGUCACAAUCUCUUAGCGUAACGUAGUGCCAGUCACAUUAUUGCACAGUCCAUAGUUGAGGAAAAUGCAAGUACACAUGUUAUUUAAGUCCAUACACAUACAAGUAGUCAACUCUUUGAACCAAAAUGCAACUGAGUGCCAAGCCACUGUCUGAGCAACUUACAUAUUAUUCACAAAAUGAGUCUUUUUAAAAUUUAAUUUGGACAUCUGUAACCCUUUGAUAAAACGAAAAAUAUAUUUGUUUUGCUUUUGGGCACAAGUAGUCUAUCAUUGUCCAUUCUGAUGGGGUGGGGUGGGGGAAGUCUUCCCUGUGAGAACUGAAUUAUUGUUUGGCACCAAAUAGUUUGAUAUUCAUAAUUCCCUAUUUAUUACUAAACAUUGGCUAACUUAUUUCAUUUGUUUUGUUGUUGGUACAUUGGAUAACUUUGGUAUUGCUAGAAAAAUAGCAAGUAAAAUUGUGUUAAUGUAAACAUGUACAAAUUAUGAUUAAUUCUGUUGAAUAUUUUAUAUUUUCAGGAAAGAUGUACAGCCAAGUUGCAACUUGGAGAGAGAAAGACACAGCAGAAACAAAACUUGGAGGAAAAGGAUUGUAUGAAGACCACAAGAGGAACAAAUGAAAGAGGAAUAGACAGAAAAGAACAGAACAUGAGGAGUUUCAUAAGUGGGCAGGAAUAAAACUAGGAGAAAAGUAGUUAGAAUUGAGCAUGGAAUUUGUUGAACAUGUUGAGACCUCAAAAUUUGUAAUAACACAGAAAAUAUGAUGCAAGUCUAUUUACACAGUUUUUAUUGGAGACAACUGUACUAUUAUUAUGGUCGCUUUGCAAAAUUUCUUACUUAAUUAGCUUUAUGAUCAGUUACUUUUUGGUGUUGAUGGUAUAUACAUGUAGGUUUUUUAUUAUGUUUUUGUUUUUGAUAAAUUCUAAAAUUCUUUGAGUUUGGAUAUUGAAAAAUUAUUUUUGGUCUCGAAUACAGUCACUGUUGGAAAUUAUAAAGAAAAUAAAACUUGACCUUAACAGAAACUUUUCAAUUCACAGUGUCUCAUUUCUCAAUUAUUAUGACUAUAAAAACUUUCAUUUUACAUCUUUGUACAUGUAUAAAGUGUUAUACUGGCUAUAAAUUAUAUGAGAAAUAAAAUAUGACAUCCAUUGGCCUUUAACAUGAAGAGAAAUUCCCAAUUUGAUCUGUCAUUUGUUUCCUGUGUUGCUUUUAUGUAAUGUCGGUCACAAUAAAGAAAGAGUUCUGUAAGCGAAGGACAGAAAAGAUCAAUGCGUCUACAGGUUGAAAAAUGUAAAAACACUUCAUCCCCCCAAAAAUGAUGCGUAUUGGAAUUAUAUGAUGCGGCUGAUUAGUGUA
Molecule: unclassified non-coding RNA, 2421 nt
Filed under: Patiria miniata (bat star)
Lineage: Eukaryota; Metazoa; Echinodermata; Asteroidea; Valvatida; Asterinidae
Description: uncharacterized LOC119733189, transcript variant X1
Source: RNAcentral